Molecule: unclassified non-coding RNA, 233 nt
Filed under: Vishniacozyma heimaeyensis
Lineage: Eukaryota; Fungi; Basidiomycota; Tremellomycetes; Tremellales; Bulleribasidiaceae
Description: partial contains 5.8S ribosomal RNA, internal transcribed spacer 2, and large subunit ribosomal RNA
Source: RNAcentral
CGCACCUUGCGCCCUUUGGUAUUCCGAAGGGCAUGCCUGUUUGAGUGUCAUGAAACCUCACCCCACUUGGGUUUUUGCCCGAGCGGUGGUGGAUUGGGCGUCUGCCGUUAAUGGCUCGCCUGAAAAGCAUAAGCAACUUUGGAUGUAAUACGUUUCAUCCUUUCGAGUGGCUGACAGCCCCACAUAUUUCAUGAUCUGGCCUCAAAUCAGGUAGGGCUACCCGCUGAACUUAA